RNAcentral lists this microRNA precursor (84 nucleotides) under Bombyx mori (domestic silkworm). RNAcentral describes it as "mir-2807 microRNA precursor family". It matches the Rfam family "mir-2807 microRNA precursor family". Lineage: Eukaryota; Metazoa; Arthropoda; Insecta; Lepidoptera; Bombycidae. The record is from Rfam by way of RNAcentral.
CUAACUCAGAUUUGUAUGAAGUUGGAACAUUUAUCGACGUUUGCCGCUAGGGGCGCUUUUUCAACUGCAUAUAAAAUUGAGUUA